This 503-nucleotide ribosomal RNA is filed under the name uncultured bacterium. Its description in RNAcentral is "partial 16S ribosomal RNA". It matches the Rfam family "Bacterial small subunit ribosomal RNA", at positions 29 to 507 of the family's 1533-position model. The record is from RNAcentral.
AACGAACGCUGGCGGCGUGCCUAACACAUGCAAGUCGAACGAGAAAGGGGCUUCGGCUCCGAGUAAAGUGGCGCACGGGUGAGUAACACGUGGGUAACCUGCCUCUAAGAUUGGGAUAACUCGUCGAAAGAUGAGCUAAUACCGAAUAAGACCACAGUUCCCGCGGGAACAGGGGUCAAAGGUAGCCUCUGCUUGCAAGCUAUCACUUAGAGAUGGGCCUGCGCACCAUUAGCUAGUUGGUAGGGUAACGGCCUACCAAGGCAAAGAUGGUUAGCUGGUCUGAGAGGAUGAUCAGCCACACUGGAACUGAGACACGGUCCAGACUCCUACGGGAGGCAGCAGUGGGGAAUAUUGCGCAAUGGGCGAAAGCUUGACGCAGCAACGCCGCGUGAGUGAUGAAGGCCUUCGGGUCGUAAAGCUCUGUCGGGAGGAACGAAUGCUCCUGAGGUUAACAGCCUCGGGAGGUGACGGUACCUUCAAAGGAGGCACCGGCUAACUCUGUG